CACAAGUCACAUGUUCAACAGCUAAUUGCUUCGGCUAAUGUUCCUGAAUUUCAUGCUAACAAGGAACUACGUCGAGGUCAUGUGAGGCCAUCACACACCUGCGUGCUUUCUACAGGUCCAGGGUUUUGUUGUGACAGAGCGGAUCAUCAUCACAUUUUCUCUGUCGGUCGAGCAUGCAUUGCUGUGUCAUCACCAUGGAUCAGGUUGCUCACAGUCUUUCCAGAUUUUCUGCUCCCAAGAGAGAAAGCUGUCAUUGCUUUAUGACCAAUAUAGUUUAUGACCAGGUUACUGAACUGCAUGAUGAAGCUGGUGAUACGAUUCAGGUCUGAGAGCAGGGCCUUUAUUGGUAGUUGAUUUUCUUUUUCCUGAUGACAGCCGACAGGGGGAGCCCGAGCGUGAGACAAGAGAAAAAUCUCAUUUUAAUUUUUCAGCACUUCCUGGACGUAUUACAGAACCAGUUUCUCCAAAUCAAAGAUUGGACAUUCGAUUGGACCGAGGGAUAUGAUGUCACCACGUGGAAGUACUUUGAUGGGCAUGAGGGUACCGGGGCAGCCAAGCAGGACAAUGAGGCAUUAUAGACACCACGCCAUUGAUUUCUAUCAGCACAGGGACACCCGGGAUAGUGCAUCGCUCUCUGAUGAAAGCACCCUGCACCCUUAGCACCACCUGAUUAGAACACUUCCACCACAGAACAGUAUAAACAUCCAGGAAUGGACCUGACUGCUAAAUGUUCAUUUUCCAUGGUUAUGCUGGUAAUAAAUAUAUCAAAUAUGUUAAUGCA
This is a long non-coding RNA of Silurus meridionalis, 781 nucleotides long. RefSeq lists it as uncharacterized. The record is from RefSeq and is a predicted model, not a curated record. NCBI's taxonomy places the organism in Eukaryota, Metazoa, Chordata, Actinopteri, Siluriformes, Siluridae. The transcript is spliced from 7 exons.